RNAcentral lists this ribosomal RNA (393 nucleotides) under uncultured bacterium. RNAcentral describes it as "partial 16S ribosomal RNA". It matches the Rfam family "Bacterial small subunit ribosomal RNA", at positions 523 to 918 of the family's 1533-position model. The record is from RNAcentral.
AUACGGAAGGUCCGGGCGUUAUCCGGAUUUAUUGGGUUUAAAGGGAGCGCAGGCGGAGAUGCAAGCGUGACGUCAAAUUUCGGGGCUCAACCCCGUCUCGCGUCGCGAACUGCGUCCCUUGGUUGCGUGAAGGGGAGGCGGAACUCGUGGGGUGGCGGUGAAAUGCAUAGAGAUCACGAAGAACUCCGAUCGCGAAGGCAGCCUUCCGGCCCGUCAACGACGCUCAUGCUCGAAGGUGCGGGUAUCAAACAGGAUUAGAUACCCUGGUAGUCCGCACAGUAAACGAUGGACACCCGCGGUUUGGCCUAUAUGGCUGAGCCGCCAAGCGAAAGCGUUAAGUGUCCCACCUGGGGAGUACGCCGGCAACGGUGAAACUCAAAGGAAUUGACGGGG